GACGAACGCUGGCGGCGUGCCUAAUACAUGCAAGUAGAACGCUGAAGCGAGGAGCUUGCUCUUCUUGGAUGAGUUGCGAACGGGUGAGUAACGCGUAGGUAACCUGCCUUGUAGCGGGGGAUAACUAUUGGAAACGAUAGCUAAUACCGCAUAACAAUGGAUGACACAUGUCAUUUAUUUGAAAGGGGCAAUUGCUCCACUACAAGAUGGACCUGCGUUGUAUUAGCUAGUAGGUGAGGUAACGGCUCACCUAGGCGACGAUACAUAGCCGACCUGAGAGGGUGAUCGGCCACACUGGGACUGAGACACGGCCCAGACUCCUACGGGAGGCAGCAGUAGGGAAUCUUCGGCAAUGGGGGCAACCCUGACCGAGCAACGCCGCGCGAGUGAAGAAGGUUGUCGGAUCGUAAAGCUCUGUUGUAAGUCAAGAACGAGUGUGAGAGUGGAAAGUUCACACUGUGACGGUAGCUUACCAGAAAGAGACGGCUAACUACGUG
Molecule: ribosomal RNA, 497 nt
Filed under: uncultured bacterium
Lineage: Bacteria
Description: partial 16S ribosomal RNA
Rfam family: Bacterial small subunit ribosomal RNA
Source: RNAcentral